GCAAAUGCUCCGUCAUUGAGCAUAUAAUAGAGUGUCCACACGCUACGGCGUCUGCCAAUUUGCUUCUUAUCGGUGCGACAGCAGUAGUGCUUGUUGAAUGUGUGUGAACGCGUACAUACACCGAGUCUCUGGUGUCUGGUGAGCUUUACCAUCAAUCAACAGCACUCGCAUAUAAAAUCUGCCAUCUCAUCGGUUGUCAGUUCGGGUUGCUACUCAAUUCCUGUAUGCAUAAAAAUGCGAUAAGAUAAAACAAGGGUCAAAUACCCAGUG
Long non-coding RNA from Anopheles stephensi (Asian malaria mosquito), 270 nucleotides. RefSeq lists it as uncharacterized. Lineage: Eukaryota; Metazoa; Arthropoda; Insecta; Diptera; Culicidae. The record is from RefSeq and is a predicted model, not a curated record. The transcript is spliced from 2 exons.